Molecule: non-coding RNA, 329 nt
Organism: Odocoileus virginianus texanus
Lineage: Eukaryota; Metazoa; Chordata; Mammalia; Artiodactyla; Cervidae
Source: RefSeq, a predicted model, not a curated record
CUGAGCAGCUUCACUUUCACUCUAGUUACCAAGCUUCACCAUGGCAACUCUGGAAAUACUUAAAUAUCAUGCAGAGUUUUCAUAUGGAUUAACCAGUAGGCAACUUUUUUCUACUCCAUGAAGUGGAUUCAUAUGGAGGUGGGUGCUUGCCUUUUAAUCAUCCUGUGUGCAGAAGUGGGUUAUUUGGCAUUGGCAAAUCAUCUGUGCUUUUUAUUCAACCUUCUCUGAGGAUGUCCUGAACUAUGGCUUCCACUGCCUACUUUAUCCAGCAAACAGGCACACUCUUCUUAUUCCAGGUAUUUGUUACAAUUGCCCCACCACCAUUGUUC